AACAUCGCGCACCUGCGGGAACCUGCGGAAGGAUCAUUAAUGAUUGGUGGCUGUUGCUGACUAGUGUUUCUAGUAUGUGCACGCCACACCUUCAAUCCCACUUACACCUGUGCACCUUCUGUAAUAGAUCUAUGUGGAUACGGAGAUGUGAAAGUUUGUGCUCUCCUACUCUGUUGAAGCAGUCUACUACGUUUUUUUACACGCACACACACAAUAGUCAUUGAAUGUAUUUUUUAUUCU
Molecule: unclassified non-coding RNA, 240 nt
Filed under: soil metagenome
Description: partial contains 5.8S ribosomal RNA, internal transcribed spacer 2, and large subunit ribosomal RNA
Source: RNAcentral